This 446-nucleotide ribosomal RNA is filed under the name uncultured bacterium. RNAcentral describes it as "partial 16S ribosomal RNA". It matches the Rfam family "Bacterial small subunit ribosomal RNA", at positions 338 to 795 of the family's 1533-position model. The record is from RNAcentral.
CCUACGGGAGGCUGCAGUCGAGAAUCAUUCACAAUGGGGGAAACCCUGAUGGUGCGACGCCGCGUGGGGGAAUGAAGGUCUUCGGAUUGUAAACCCCUGUCAUGUGGGAGCAAAUUAAAAAGAUAGUACCACAAGAGGAAGAGACGGCUAACUCUGUGCCAGCAGCCGCGGUAAUACAGAGGUCUCAAGCGGUGUUCGGAAUCACUGGGCGUAAAGCGUGCGUAGGCUGUUUCGUAAGUCGUGUGUGAAAGGCGCGGGCUCAACCCGCGGACGGCACAUGAUACUGCGAGACUAGAGUAAGGGAGGGGGAACCGGAAUUCUCGGUGUAGCAGUGAAAUGCGUAGAUAUCGAGAGGAACACUCGUGGCGAAGGCGGGUUCCUGGACAUUAACUGACGCUGAGGCACGAAGGCCAGGGGAGCGAAAGGGAUUAGAUACCCGGGUAGUC